RNAcentral lists this ribosomal RNA (468 nucleotides) under uncultured bacterium. Its description in RNAcentral is "partial 16S ribosomal RNA". It matches the Rfam family "Bacterial small subunit ribosomal RNA", at positions 28 to 507 of the family's 1533-position model. The record is from RNAcentral.
GACGAACGCUGGCGGCGUGCUUAACACAUGCAAGUCGAACGGAAAGGCCCUGCUUUUGUGGGGUGCUCGAGUGGCGAACGGGUGAGUAACACGUGAGUAACCUGCCCUUGACUUUGGGAUAACUUCAGGAAACUGGGGCUAAUACCGGAUAGGAGCUCCUGCUGCAUGGUGGGGGUUGGAAAGUUUCGGCGGUUGGGGAUGGACUCGCGGCUUAUCAGCUUGUUGGUGGGGUAGUGGCUUACCAAGGCUUUGACGGGUAGCCGGCCUGAGAGGGUGACCGGCCACAUUGGGACUGAGAUGCGGCACAGCCUCCUACGGGAGGCAGCAGUGGGGAAUAUUGCACAAUGGGCGGAAGCCUGAUGCAGCAACGCCGCGUGCGGGAUGACGGCCUUCGGGUUGUAAACCGCUUUCGCCUGUGACGAAGCGUGAGUGACGGUAAUGGGUAAAGAAGCACCGGCUAACUACGUG